This 539-nucleotide ribosomal RNA is filed under the name uncultured Ralstonia sp. RNAcentral's name for it is "bacterial SSU rRNA". It matches the Rfam family "Bacterial small subunit ribosomal RNA", at positions 56 to 645 of the family's 1533-position model. Lineage: Bacteria; Pseudomonadati; Pseudomonadota; Betaproteobacteria; Burkholderiales; Burkholderiaceae. The record is from RNAcentral.
UGCAGUCGAGCGCCCCGCAGGGGAGCGGCAGACGGGUGAGUAACGCGUGGGAAUCUACCGUGCCCUACGGAAUAGCUCCGGGAAACUGGAAUUAAUACCGUAUACGCCCUACGGGGGAAAGAUUUAUUGGGGUAUGAUGAGCCCGCGUUGGAUUAGCUAGUUGGUGGGGUAAAGGCCUACCAAGGCGACGAUCCAUAGCUGGUCUGAGAGGAUGAUCAGCCACAUUGGGACUGAGACACGGCCCAAACUCCUACGGGAGGCAGCAGUGGGGAAUAUUGGACAAUGGGCGCAAGCCUGAUCCAGCCAUGCCGCGUGAGUGAUGAAGGUCUUAGGAUUGUAAAGCUCUUUCACCGGUGAGGAUAAUGACGGUAACCGGAGAAGAAGCCCCGGCUAACUUCGUGCCAGCAGCCGCGGUAAUACGAAGGGGGCUAGCGUUGUUCGGAAUUACUGGGCGUAAAGCGCACGUAGGCGGAUAUUUAAGUCAGGGGUGAAAUCCCAGAGCUCAACUCUGGAACUGCCUUUGAUACUGGGUAUCUUGA